GCACCUGUAGCUUAACUGGAUAGAGCAGUUGACUACGGAUCAACAGGUUAGGGGUUCGACUCCCUUCAGGUGCA
This 74-nucleotide transfer RNA is filed under the name Bacteroidota bacterium. RNAcentral describes it as "Bacteroidetes bacterium (activated sludge metagenome) tRNA-Arg". It matches the Rfam family "tRNA". Rfam says of the family: Transfer RNA (tRNA) molecules are approximately 80 nucleotides in length. Lineage: Bacteria; Pseudomonadati; Bacteroidota. The record is from RNAcentral.